GAAGGGCCAUAGCUCAGUGGCAGAGCAUCUGCUUUGCAUUCAGAAGACCUUGGGAUCAGUCCCCAGCAUCUUCA
This is a non-coding RNA of Podarcis lilfordi (Lilford's wall lizard), 74 nucleotides long. The record is from the annotation of a GenBank genome assembly. NCBI's taxonomy places the organism in Eukaryota, Metazoa, Chordata, Lepidosauria, Squamata, Lacertidae.